UACGUAGGGGGCGAGCGUUGUCCGGAAUUAUUGGGCGUAAAGAGCGUGUAGGCGGUUCGGUAAGUCUGCCGUGAAAACCCAGGGCUCAACCCUGGGCGUGCGGUGGAUACUGCCGGGCUAGAGGGUGGUAGAGGCGAGUGGAAUUCCCGGUGUAGCGGUGAAAUGCGCAGAUAUCGGGAGGAACACCAGUAGCGAAGGCGGCUCGCUGGGCCAUACCUGACGCUGAGACGCGAAAGCGUGGGGAGCAAACAGG
RNAcentral lists this ribosomal RNA (253 nucleotides) under uncultured bacterium. RNAcentral describes it as "partial 16S ribosomal RNA". It matches the Rfam family "Bacterial small subunit ribosomal RNA", at positions 524 to 776 of the family's 1533-position model. The record is from RNAcentral. RNAcentral also lists the same sequence under 1 other name.